RNAcentral lists this ribosomal RNA (488 nucleotides) under uncultured Glomus. RNAcentral describes it as "SSU rRNA". It matches the Rfam family "Eukaryotic small subunit ribosomal RNA", at positions 569 to 1062 of the family's 1831-position model. Lineage: Eukaryota; Fungi; Glomeromycota; Glomeromycetes; Glomerales; Glomeraceae. The record is from RNAcentral.
AGCAGCCGCGGUAAUUCCAGCUCCAAUAGCGUAUAUUAAAGUUGUUGCAGUUAAAAAGCUCGUAGUUGAAUUUCGGGAUCAAUAUAUUGGUCAUGCUUAGGUAUGUACUGGUAUUAUUGAUUUCUCCCUUCUGAAGAACCAUAAUGUCAUUAAUUUGAUGUCAUGGGGAAUCAGGACUGUUACUUUGAAAAAAUUAGAGUGUUUAAAGCAGGCUUUCGCUUGAAUACAUUAGCAUGGGAUAAUGAAAUAGGACGUUUGAUUCUAUUUUGUUGGUUUCUAGAAUCGACGUAAUGAUUAAUAGGGAUAGUUGGGGGCAUUAGUAUUCAAUUGUCAGAGGUGAAAUUCUUGGAUUUAUUGAAGACUAACUACUGCGAAAGCAUUUGCCAAGGAUGUUUUCAUUAAUCAAGAACGAAAGUUAGGGGAUCGAAGACGAUCAGAUACCGUCGUAGUCUUAACCAUAAACUAUGCCGACUAGGGAUCGGAUGAUG